CCUACGGGAGGCAGCAGUGAGGAAUAUUGGUCAAUGGACGAGAGUCUGAACCAGCCAAGUAGCGUGAAGGAUGACUGCCCUAUGGGUUGUAAACUUCUUUUAUAUGGGAAUAAAAUGUUCCACGUGUGGGAUUUUGUAUGUACCAUAUGAAAAAGGAACGGAUAACUCCGUGCCAGCAGCGGCGGUAAUACGGAGGAUCCGAGCGUUAUCCGGAUUUAUUGGGUUUAAAGGGAGCGUAGGUGGAUUGUUAAGUCAGUUGUGAAAGUUUGCGGCUCAACCGUAAAAGUGCAGUUGAAACUGGCAGUCUUGAGUACAGUAGAGGUGGGCGGAAUUCGUGGUGUAGCGGUGAAAUGCUUAGAUAUCACGAAGAACUACGAUUGCGAAGGCAGUUCACUGGACUGCAACUGACACUGAGGCUCGAAAGUGUGGGUAUCAAACAGGAUUAGAUACCCCAGUAGUC
Molecule: ribosomal RNA, 460 nt
Filed under: uncultured bacterium
Lineage: Bacteria
Description: partial 16S ribosomal RNA
Rfam family: Bacterial small subunit ribosomal RNA
Source: RNAcentral